CGCCCGCUGCCGGUUUAGCUGAAGUGAGGUGGAAUGAAGAUGGCGGAGUGAGGGUCUGUUAGGCUAUGUGGCCUCAGGGCCGGGGGCACACAGGCCCCCGAGAGGGCACUUACCUCUGUUGGGUCGUGUGAGGUGAGCUGAGAAGACUGAUGACGGGAGGAUCCUUAUCAUACAAGAAGAUUUUCUUGACCUUUAGGUGCUCAAAACAAUUCUAAACUCAGGAUUGGCAAGUAUUUCUGCAUUGUCUUCUAGACCAGCGGUUCUUUUACUCACCCUCUUCCCUGGAUAGAGGACAUGGAUAUCUUUCUGCACAUCACCUCCAUGGUUUGGAAUGAAAAAGAUGGCUUUGUUUUGUUCCAUCUCUCAGCUUCAACACAGAGAAACCCUUAGGAUGCAGUUAUCUUGUGACUUCUCCUGGAAAACCCCUCAGCUGACAUGGGGUUUCAGCUGUGGUUUUCUUAAUUAUAAAGAAAUUAUUUUCCAAGCUGAAGACAUAAAUGUUUAAUUUUAAACAGGUGCUUAGGUCAUGAUAUUUGUGAAUUCUUUCACUUUGUUUCAAACAAGAAGAAUAUAUAAACAACAAGUAUGGAUGACUUCAGGGGUUCUUAAAAAUGUCUUCCAGCUUCGGCCACUAUCUGAGAAGCACAGUUAAGACUACAGCAGUAACUUCCAAAUAGUCAUUGUGAUUUGAAAUGAAAGAUAUGUUAAAAUGUUACAUAUAUCAUGAAAUCCUGGGUUAUCCUGACAUCGGUUUACUGGAGGCGAACAAAGGUCCACUUUUGUAAUUAAACCUUUGAUAUUAUAAAGAAGUAUGAAGAUAUUAAGGCUGAUUGCCUAUGUAAAUAAACCAUCAGUUUCUGUAGAUACACAUUUUACACAUGUAAACCCACAUUUUUGAACAAAAGAAUUUUUUUCUCCUAGAGAGGGAUGAUGUUAACUUCUUUUCUAGAAGUUUUUGAAAUUCAAUAUAUAAAAUUUUUUUUUUCAUUCAUAGGAUCAACUUGCACAGCAGCUAAUCCUGUGAAAUGCAUGUUUUCACUUAGUUGAAAGCAUGAUAAAAGAAAACAAGAGUUUGAGCCCAGUGACGGAAUUCUAUUUACUUAUUUAAGCUGAAAAAUAGCUACUAUGUGACAAAUUCUUCAUCCCUUUUUGGAGUCAGUCAUACAUAGCACAUGAAACUUCAUUUUCCUUUUGGUGAAGGCCAGAAGAAAAGUGCCACAAGAUAUAAUGGGCCCUGUUGUACAGACUGCCCUCAACUCUGUGCACACGGAGGUGUAGAGAUAAAAUGAGAAAAAUAUCUGUAGACCUUGCUCCUAAGAAAAACAAGCAAAAUGUCUUAUGUAGCACCAUCUGAGUUUUGACCUAUUUUAUAAAGCUCCAUUUUUUAUGAACUUUUUCUUUGACAUAGGAUGGGCACUUAAUGUUUUAUUUUUCUAGGCAAUAGGUAUAUUAGGCUGAAAAGGCUAGAACUCAGGUAACUAUCCCUACUUAGAACUGAGCUUUCUCCUCAGAGAAUAAGUCAGAAAUAAUGUUCCCAAGUCUGUGGCUGAUCAUUAUAGAUUUAGAAGAAAUUUAGGAUCUAAAGAAAACCUCCAGAAGACUAGUUCCAAUAAUAAUUAGUGGUCUGCCUGAUUUUUUCCUUCAUAAUUAAUUCUAUCAUGAACACACUAUCUUAGAACCCUGUCCCUCCAAAUAACAGGACCGUUGUAUGAGAUGUCAGAUCUCCACAUAAGAAGAGCAAAACCUUUAUUUUUGAUUCUUUGUGAGAAGAAUUUUAAACUUGUUAGAUCAUUUCUCUGUUUUGUGGAUUAGUUCCCCAAGGUACUAACGAUGCUGGGAAUUUUAGGUAGGUUUACCAAAAUUUCAGAGUGAUAGAAAUAACCAAAAAUGGGAACUGUUGAAUACUGUAAUGGUUAGAUUAGUCAACCUACUUGAAUGGGGAAAAAAAGUCAUAAAACACAUAGUAUAGAUAAAAUAUAACUUUUUUUUUUUUAUUUUA
Molecule: long non-coding RNA, 1999 nt
Organism: Octodon degus (degu)
Lineage: Eukaryota; Metazoa; Chordata; Mammalia; Rodentia; Octodontidae
Exons: 3
Source: RefSeq, a predicted model, not a curated record